This is a long non-coding RNA of Mirounga angustirostris (Northern elephant seal), 340 nucleotides long. RefSeq lists it as uncharacterized. Lineage: Eukaryota; Metazoa; Chordata; Mammalia; Carnivora; Phocidae. The record is from RefSeq and is a predicted model, not a curated record. The transcript has 2 exons.
CGAGUGAGCAGAUACACGAACUUUGCUGGACUCCAGGAGGAGCUCGGCUCAACUACCAUGCUGAGAUUAGGCUGUACCACCAGGCUGCUGCAGGCCCCUCUGAGGGGCUGGGUAGUUCCCAAGGCGCACGUCUCUGCCAAGCCAGCCCGGACACCCACUUCUCCCACGGAGCAAGCCAUUGGGCUCUCUGUGAUGUUCCUCAGCUUCCUGAUUCCUGCGGGCUGGGUCUUAGCCCACGUGGACAGCUACAAGAGAAGCUCUGCAGCAUGAAGGCUCUGUACCUUGGGCUCGGGCACAGGGCCAACGGUCCCAUUAAACCCCUCCCUCCACCCAGUGUUCA